GGUGAAACUCAACCAACAUCCGAAACGUUUUAAAAAAUGCUAUUUGAGUCACAACGAGGAUCAUCGUUUGACAUCCAUGGAGCCUGAAGCGUGGAAACUUGAGCAAAAAGGGUUAACAUUUCAAAUUGUUGGAUUAGCCUAGCUAUACGCUGCUGUACUUUGGAUCAUCAUCGUGUUUCUGUUUUGUUAAUUCUAAUAAAAAUUGACUUGCAUGUCAUCGACUCCUCUGUAAA
Etheostoma spectabile (orangethroat darter) is the source of this 233-nucleotide long non-coding RNA. RefSeq lists it as uncharacterized. NCBI's taxonomy places the organism in Eukaryota, Metazoa, Chordata, Actinopteri, Perciformes, Percidae. The record is from RefSeq and is a predicted model, not a curated record. The transcript is spliced from 2 exons.